Molecule: long non-coding RNA, 1527 nt
Organism: Lycium barbarum (goji berry)
Lineage: Eukaryota; Viridiplantae; Streptophyta; Magnoliopsida; Solanales; Solanaceae
Exons: 2
Source: RefSeq, a predicted model, not a curated record
CCAAUGUGGUUUAGAUGAAUUCAAGAUUGUUUGGAAUUCUAUUACAAUCAACUAGAGUAGAGACAAAGAAAGCAAGAGGAAUGUCUACUCUUAGCCAAGUGCAUAUAAAUUGCACACUUUAUUUUCUCAUUUGGUACUCUCUCGGUUCAACUCAUAUGACACUCUUUCCAUAUUGGGACGUUCCAAAAUAUUCAAUCAUUCUACUUAUGUACAACUUCCACAACUUUCAAAUACUAAAAUUCAUGAAACUAUUCAUCAUACUCUUAACUCUGAUUUGAUAUUUGCUCUCUUUUCAACCACUACUUUAAUAUUCUCUUCCAUUAUCCAAAAUAUACAAUAUAAGUCAAAUUAACAUCUUAAACUCCCGCCCAAGACUCAAACGCCAUCAAAUAACAGAGAUGACACAUAGUUACAGAAGGCAUAUAGUUAUGCAACUUUAGGCUCUUACCAUAUGCUUUUCUGUUUGAAACAUCGUCUAGCAGAGUUUGCUGACUGCAUUAUUCGGUGUUUUCGCUCCCCUGUUGAAGCAAAAAUGACUUGCUGGUACAUCCACUUUCCAAUUCAUAUCAUAUACACCAAGUUCUUGAUACCUUUGAUUAAAGACACUUCGAGUUGACUCCAAAUGCUGCUUUGAGCUUCCCAUUUUAUUCCAUUCUUGAACCUUUGGUCAGCCACAAAGAAAACCCCUGAAUACAAAUUACCUUGUUGAAUCAAGAAUUGAAAACACACCCUUUAUACGAACAAUGACAAAGUAUGAGAAUUGUUUUUUUCAUGCUAACCUUGUGAAUGUAAGAUCCAACAUUUGAUGAGUACCAUUUGGCUCCGACACUCGAUUCAGGUUUCUCUGAGAACACACAAAGGGAAACUCCUUUCUUCUUAUCGUCUCUUACACUCUUACUUCAACAUGCUUCACGAACAGAGCACUCGUCCUAAGUAAUCGAGAUGAGCUAGGGCCAAGAACCAUGUGAUAAUAGCCAUUAAUGCCGUACCUUAUGCUAAGCAACACUGAAAUAGGAAACAAAACAACAUGUGUGUCCAUUAUAAAGGAGAUCACUGAAGAGGCUAAAGCAUAAAAAAAUUGAAUAUUACAUGCCACAUAUCCAUACAAGUAGCAGGGCGAGCAAACGAGCCGAUUUCUCUUGCCACGUCCAACAAUGAUAGAAAUAAUGACAACAAUAACGAUGAUGGUGAUGCAUGGAAGAGGGUAAUUCCCUCUGUGAAAAAUGAAACUUGAAGCUGUGGGGGAAGGGGCAUAAAGGAUUAUUAACAAGAGAAUUAUCAAAAUGCUGAAAAUACCAUAUUAGAAGAGGAAACAAAUGGCUUGCUAGUAGGUGUAAGUAAUGAAAUUGGCUGAUUCAUGUUGCCUUUUAUUUGUUCUAUGUAAGUAAUGCAACUAAUUGUUCUAUGUAAGAACAAUUGCACGAUUUCCUUCAAAGGCACUGGUUUUUAAUUUUUACCUUUCGUCUAAUAUCCGAGUUUCUGCAUUCGAACUCAGGCUCAGUCAAAAAUAAGAAAAGAAUUUCGCAA